This 1134-nucleotide ribosomal RNA is filed under the name Oleiphilus sp. HI0122. RNAcentral describes it as "bacterial LSU rRNA". It matches the Rfam family "Bacterial large subunit ribosomal RNA", at positions 1 to 1184 of the family's 2925-position model. The record is from RNAcentral. Lineage: Bacteria; Pseudomonadati; Pseudomonadota; Gammaproteobacteria; Oceanospirillales; Oleiphilaceae.
GUUAUAUAGUCAAGCGACUAAGCGCAUACGGUGGAUGCCUUGGCAGUCAGAGGCGAUGAAGGACGUAGAAACCUGCGAUAAGCGUUGGUAAGCUGGUAAACGAGCUUUGACCCAACGAUUUCCGAAUGGGGAAACCCAUCCGUCAUAAGGCGGAUAUCCUGCACUGAAUUCAUAGGUGUAGGAAGCGAACCCGGAGAACUGAAACAUCUAAGUACCCGGAGGAAAAGAAAUCAACCGAGAUUCCCCUAGUAGCGGCGAGCGAACGGGGAUCAGCCGAUGGUUGUUGUGUUAGUGGAAUGCUCUGGAAAGUGCAGCAAUAGAGGGUGAUAGCCCCGUACACGAAGACACAGCGAUCACAUAUUAAGUAGGACGGGACACGUGUUAUCUUGUCUGAAGAUGGGGGGACCAUCCUCCAAGGCUAAAUACUCCUGACUGACCGAUAGUGAACCAGUACCGUGAGGGAAAGGCGAAAAGAACCCCUGUGAGGGGAGUGAAAUAGAUCCUGAAACCGUAUGCGUACAAGCAGUGGGAGCAGACUUGUUCUGUGACUGCGUACCUUUUGUAUAAUGGGUCAGCGACUUAAUUUUAGUAGCAAGGUUAACCGUAUAGGGGAGCCGUAGGGAAACCGAGUCUUAAUAGGGCGCAUAGUUGCUAGGAUUAGACCCGAAACCGAGUGAUCUAUCCAUGAGCAGGUUGAAGGUUAGGUAACACUGACUGGAGGACCGAACCCACUGUCGUUGAAAAGCCAGGGGAUGACUUGUGGAUAGGAGUGAAAGGCUAAUCAAACUCGGAGAUAGCUGGUUCUCCUCGAAAGCUAUUUAGGUAGCGCCUCGUGUAUCACCAUAGGGGGUAGAGCACUGUUUGGGCUAGGGGUUCAUCCCGACUUACCAACCCCAUGCAAACUCCGAAUACCUAUGAGUGCGAGCACGGGAGACACACUGCGGGUGCUAACGUCCGUUGUGGAGAGGGCAACAACCCAGACCGCCAGCUAAGGUCCCAAAUUCAUAGUUAAGUGGGAAACGAUGUGGGAAGGCUUAGACAGCUAGGAGGUUGGCUUAGAAGCAGCCAUCCUUUAAAGAAAGCGUAAUAGCUCACUAGUCGAGUCGGCCUGCGCGGAAGAUUUAACGGGGCUCA